Molecule: non-coding RNA, 4147 nt
Organism: Paramisgurnus dabryanus
Lineage: Eukaryota; Metazoa; Chordata; Actinopteri; Cypriniformes; Cobitidae
Source: RefSeq, a predicted model, not a curated record
CGUCAAGAGACGUCAUUACGUGUAAAAUGUUGCUGAUCCACAUUUAUUGGUGGUGGUAUCCUUAAAUUAGCAGCCCAAAAUCCCUGAAACUCCUUUCACUGCCAUCAUCAUGACAUCACCAAGACAAGCUUCAUAAAGCAAAAAUCAACUCUUGCAGACCCUGUUUUCUGACGGCACACCCAAAACCUUUCUGGCUCCUCUACUUCCUCUGUGUUGGUGGCCUAACAGGUUACUAACUACACACCUUCAAAAAUAUAAAGCUACACCUGCGUGGCACUUGAGGGCAAAAAACCACCAGCAGACAUGAUGUAUGUCACGGAUACAACACUGACCUGAGACUCAAUAUCUUCAAUAACAUUUUGAUUAAUCAAAUUAUUUACUGCAUUUUAUGUAAAUGCAAAUGCAAAUGCACGUGUAAUCAGUAUUGUAAUUAUUUCUAUUCGCUUGUUCUUUCAGGAAAAUCCAGCACACGUCGCAAAAAAUGACUUUCUUACUUAGUAUUUUUGUCUUGUUUUGAAUACAAAUAUCUAAAAAUUCUUAAAUCAAGAUGCUUUUUCUUGAUGAGCAAAAUGAAAAAAAGUUUACACUGCAAAAAAUUAUUUUCAAGAAAACAUUUUCUUAGUAUUUUUGACUUGUUUUUAGUAAAAAUAUCAAAAAUUCUUAAAUUAAGAUGCUUUUUCUUGAUGAGCAAAACGACCCAAGAAAAUAAGUCUAGUUUUUAGACCAAAAAUAUCAAAUUCAAGUGAUUUUGUGCAUAAAACAAGCAAAAAAAUCUGCAAAUGGGGUAAGCAAAAAAAUCUUGAACAUUUUCUUAAACACUAAAUUCAAGAAAAAUUCAAGAAAAAUUAGCUUACCCCUUUGGCAGAUUUUUUUGCAAAAAAAUUAACUUAAAUUUAAAAAUGUUUGUCUAAGAACUAGACUUAUUUUCUUGGGUUGUUUGAAAAAGACAAAAAUACUAAAAAGACAAAAAUACUACGAAUUUUUUUCUAGAAAAUCAUUUUUUGCAGUGUAGUUUUUACACAAAAAAAAUAUAUACAAUUUAAGUAAAUUUGUGCUUAAAGGGAUAGUUCACCCAAAAAUGAUUAUUCAGCAUUGUCUUUUCUUCCACGUCUGUUGUGAAGCGCAUACGCGAGACUAAAGUCACGUGACUGCAGUCAUGCGGAUGACGCACGACGUGGCUGACGUGUUAUCUGGUGCGCCCCAGCUGGUUUUUUUUGUGCACGGUAUCGCACAUGCGCUUCACAAUAGAAUCAAGACUUUUUUCUUACCCCAUUGGCAGAUUUUUUUGCUUGUUUUAUGCACCAAAUUAACUUAAAUGUAAAAAUGUUUGUCUAAGAACUAGACUUAGGCUACGUUCAUACUGCAGUCUGAAACGACCCAAUUCCGAUUUUUUUGCCCCUAUGCGACCUGUAUCUGAUCUUUUCAUGACAGUCUGAACGACACAGAUUCGAUCUUUUCAAAUGUGACCCAGGCCACUUGGGUAUGUGGUCCUGAAUCCGAUACGUAUCCGAUCUUUUGAAAUGCGACCUUCGUCUGAACGGCCAGGCCACAUGGAUCCGACCCGUACGUCACUGAUACGCUACAAACGUCAUAAUUCUGCAUUGAAGUAGGCAAGAACGAUAAGAUAAACAACAACCAUGGGCGACGUUGCUAACACUGCUCCACAUCAUUAAAUUUUGGCCGUAUGGGUGCACACGUUAUAUGAUUUCACAUAUAACAGCGUUCUCCAAAUAGAUUAAUAUAUAGCAUAUUAUUAUAAUGCUGCAAAUAAUAUGUGAAGUAGCAGCUUUCAAUUAUUUUUAAAAUGCGUUUAUAGAUCCAACAACCCCUGUGACCGGUCGACACGUCCAUAAGAGGUUUCUAUGUUUAUAAACCAUUGCCUCUUUGUUUCUACAUUUAAAAGACAAAGCUGGCAAUUCUGGCUAUACUUUCGUUCUUUUAAUAAUUUCUUUAUUUUAUUUAUAAAUCACUCUGGGUUAUCUGAUUUAUCUAUUUGGCUUGUGUUUUGUUUCCGUGCACUUGAGGCAUUUUGCACAUUUGUUCUGCACUUUGUUACUUCUAACCUUAUUUUAUAAAAAAAAAUUGUAUUUAUAAUAAACGUAAAUUCUGAUCUAAUUUAAGUCUGUAAAUUUUGGAUUGCUUUUCGUUGUAUCGAUGUUGCGCUAUUGCGUGCUGGCCAUGCUUGCGCAUGCAAUUUAGCCGAACGUGCUAGGUGCUCUUCGUCUCAUAUUUAGGAGUUCAUCAAACUAAACAUUAAAAAACGGAUGUUUUUCGACGGGUAUAAGUUUUUAAAAUGUAUUUAAAACAAACUGGUUAUUUUGUCAAAAGUUAAACUACAAAACAGGUAAGCCGUUUCUUUAAAUUUCGGUGCUGAAACGGAAAAUAUCUGCACCAAACCUAUAUUUAUGCCUGACACGACUGUCUUCGUGUGUUCACUUUCAAAUGAUAGCAAAGAGAUUCCUGAAAUAAAUAAUAUCAUCAGGUCUUUCUGUAUCUAAAGUGAAUACAGAGAUGAUCAAAGUCAAAGCAAGGAAGCAGGUAUUUCUAUGCUAAAUAAUAACGCGAAGUGUCUAUAAAAUCAUUAAUUUCAGUGUUUUUCUUGUUAUAAAUUAACGUUUAAUGAAUUGUAUAUAAAGCUUAGUUUUUCUCAUUUACAGUAACAAACACAAAUUAACAAACACAAAAAGAGCUCCAUUGUUGACUACACCGUUGUUGACAUCCAUGUUUAACGUUGGCUUAGAAGUGACGUCCUUGACCGUGGAGUACUCUUAUGCGCAUGCGGGUCACUUCUGGGUCAUUUCACGUUCACACAGGAGAUCGCAAAAGGUCGCAUUUUAUUGGAAAUGUGAACGGCCUUGCAAAAAAAUCUAAUUUUUUCAAAAAAUCGGAAUUGAGCAUUAAGCCCUGCAGUAUGAACGUAGCCUUAUUUUCUUGGGUCGUUUGAAAAAGACAAAAAUACUAAGAAUUUUUUUCUUGAAAAUAUUUUUUUGCAGUGUAGUGUUUAUUUAUUUAAGUAAAUUUGUGCUUAAAGGGAUAGUUCACCCAAAAAUGAAAAUAAUGUAAUUUAUUCAGCAUUGUCUUCUCUUCCACGUCUGUUGUGAAGCGCAUGCGCGAGACUAAAGUCACGUGACUGCAGUGACGCGGAUGACGCACGACGCAGCUGACGUGUUAUCUGGUGCGCCCCAGCUGUUUUAUUUGUGCCUGGUCUCGCACAUGCACUUCACAAUAGAAUCAAGACUUUUUUCUUACCCCAUUGGCAGAUUUUUUUUUGCUUGUUUUAGGCACAAUUUCACUUAAAAUUUAUAUUUAUUUUCCAAGGUCAUUUUACUUACCAAGAAAAUGCAUCUUGAUUUAAGACAAAAAAACUAAAUAAGAAAGAAAAAAAAUCUGCCAAUGGGGUAAGCAAAAAAAUCUUGAAAUUUUUUCUUAAACACUUAAUUAAAGAAAAAAUCUGUUUUGUGCACAAAAUCAUCACUUAAAUUUAAUAUUUUUGCUCUAAAAACUAGACUUAAUUUCUUGGGUCAUUUUGCUCAUCAAGAAAAAGCAUCUUAAUUUAAAUUUUUUAGAUAUUUUUACUGAAAACAAGACAAAAAUACUACGAUUUUUUUUCUUGAAAAUCAUUUUUUGCAGUGUGGGUGUGCCGUACUGAGGAUACGCGUGUCAUCGCAACAAGAAGUUAUGGUUCAGCUCUUUGCCACAGGGUUUUUAACACAAAUCAACAUUCACAACGAGAAAUGUUGGCAAACUGGACUGAAGCAGAGAUAAGGGAGGUCCAUGCUGAAGCUGAGAUCAUUCACCAGCAUAACACAACCUUAUGAUCUUAUCAUAAACUAAAAGAGAGAAAUCACGGAUAAUUAGCAAACUUCAGACACUUUGGAAAAACCUACCAAGUGCAGAACUUUAAAUACGUAACGAGUGUUUACUGGAUCUUUAGUAAGUACAUGCACAGAUUCUGAAAAAUCAUUGGCAGUGUGAAUGAACCAAAACUCAAACGAUCCUGAAUGCAUUUUCCGUAAUCUCUGUGUAAAAAAGGCUUUAGAGACGACCAAUGUUAAAUCCUGAGUGUGCUCUGAUCCACGAUGUGAAGGACCUGAAUGUAGCACUAAUACAGAGCAGCUCUUUCUGGACGUCUGAAGAACGUGUGAGG